RNAcentral lists this ribosomal RNA (460 nucleotides) under uncultured bacterium. RNAcentral describes it as "SSU rRNA". It matches the Rfam family "Bacterial small subunit ribosomal RNA", at positions 26 to 518 of the family's 1533-position model. The record is from RNAcentral.
AGAAUCAACGCUGGCGGCGUGCCUAACACAUGCAAGUCGAACGAGAAAGUGGAGCAAUCCAUGAGUAAAGUGGCGCACGGGUGAGUAACACGUGACUAACCUACCCUUGAGUGGGGGAUAACCUAGAGAAAUCUGGGCUAAUACCGCAUAAUACCUUCGGGUCAAAGGAGCAAUUCGCUUAAGGAGGGGGUCGCGGCCGAUUAGUUAGUUGGCGGGGUAAUGGCCCACCAAGACUGUGAUCGGUAUCCGGCCUGAGAGGGCGCACGGACACACUGGAACUGAAACACGGUCCAGACUCCUACGGGAGGCAGCAGUGGGAAUUUUGCGCAAUGGGGGAAACCCUGACGCAGCAACGCCGCGUGGAGGAUGAAGCCCCUUGGGGCGUAAACUCCUUUCGAUCGGGAAGAUAAUGACGGUACCGAGAGAAGAAGCCCCGGACUAACUUCGUGCCAGCAGCCGC